AGCACUGUUUCCUAGCAAAGCGAGCUCUCCUGUGGAGUGCAAGGGCUCUUUGCACUUCCCUUGCACUUGCAGCAUAGACAGGAUGUCUCCAGACACUGAAAAUGUACAAAAGAAUGACCAUACAUUUGACAUCAUUUGCAUCAAGACAAAUAGGCAUGGGGGUGUAGCACCAGUGAAGCAUUUAGCCAGCUUAUUGAGAAGGGACUCUUCAGAUUAAGUGCCCAAUCAAGAAACACUUAACUGACAAUGGACCUUGGAAGACUCCAAUCCACAUCUAAGAGCCUUCCUGGGAACAUUCAAGGUAGCAUGUGAGCAAUGGCUGCUCUACCUGUAAAGUGAGUCAUGCAUGGACAUGUGACUUGCCCAUGUGACUCCAAACUCCACCUUGCUGCUGUGAUUUUCCUCAGUAAGAACAAAGGGGUAUCCUUCCACGUGGCAGAGAACAUAAAAGGCCCUGGAAAACCCUCCAUUUUGUCUUCAAUCCUGUUUCUUAUCUCUGAAGAAACUUUGCUGCAAACUGAAGCUCUGAACAAAGGACUGACCAAGCUGUGGAUGUACUCUAGAGACUUGAUUUGAACCAGCAGUUUAUUCCAUCACUGCUACAAGCCUGAACCAAGAACUUUGCCAUUACUGUAUGUAAUUGAUUCCAUUUAACCAAUUUUAACUCUCGUUGAUAUUUCUUUCUUUUUUAUGAAUAAACUUUUAGAUUUUAGAUUCUAA
Molecule: long non-coding RNA, 720 nt
Organism: Gopherus flavomarginatus (Mexican gopher tortoise)
Lineage: Eukaryota; Metazoa; Chordata; Testudines; Testudinidae
Exons: 2
Source: RefSeq, a predicted model, not a curated record